RNAcentral lists this transfer RNA (91 nucleotides) under Mycoplasmataceae bacterium. RNAcentral describes it as "tRNA-Ser". It matches the Rfam family "tRNA". From Rfam's summary of the family: Transfer RNA (tRNA) molecules are approximately 80 nucleotides in length. Their secondary structure includes four short double-helical elements and three loops (D, anti-codon, and T loops). The record is from RNAcentral. Lineage: Bacteria; Bacillati; Mycoplasmatota; Mollicutes; Mycoplasmatales; Mycoplasmataceae.
GGAUGCUUACCCAAGUGGUUGAAGGGUUCGGUUUCGAAAACCGAUAGAUAGUGAAAGCUAUGCGGGAGUUCGAAUCUCUCAGCAUCCGCCA